This 450-nucleotide ribosomal RNA is filed under the name uncultured bacterium. RNAcentral's name for it is "bacterial SSU rRNA". It matches the Rfam family "Bacterial small subunit ribosomal RNA", at positions 30 to 526 of the family's 1533-position model. The record is from RNAcentral.
CGAACGCUGGCGGCAUGCCUAACACAUGCAAGUCGCGCGGUCAGCAAUGGCAGCGGCGGACGGGUGCGUAACGCGUAGGAACGUGUCUUGAGGUGGGGGACAACCCUGGGAAACUGGGGCUAAUACCGCAUAUGGGCUGAGGCCCAAAGCCGUAAGGCGCCUUGAGAGCGGCCUGCGUCCGAUUAGCUAGUUGGUGGGGUAAAGGCCUACCAAGGCUCCGAUCGGUAGCUGGUCUGAGAGGACGAUCAGCCACACUGGGACUGAGACACGGCCCAGACUCCUACGGGAGGCAGCAGUGGGGAAUAUUGGACAAUGGGCGCAAGCCUGAUCCAGCAAUGCCGCGUGGGUGAAGAAGGUCUUCGGAUCGUAAAGCCCUUUCGACAGGGACGAUGAUGACGGUACCUGUAGAAGAAGCCCCGGCUAACUUCGUGCCAGCAGCCGCGGUAAUCU